GGUCACUCCCAAGCCUGGAAGAGAAUGAGAAGGAGGCAGUAGAAUAUCAUUAUAAUCAUACUACUUGUCCCAGGGGAUCCAUGUAUUCUACUGAAGAGUGGGAGUAGUUCAAAAUGGAGAAAUGAGGAAACCAUGACAAAGAGUCUGGAUAAUCAUUAGAACUGAUUAAAGUCAGGCUGCCCUAGAUUGAAAAGUGUGUGCCUCUGCUCACAGAUGAAGAAAUAAGAAUGGAAGCAUAAUCAUUUGUCCGAGGUCACAGAGGGAGAUGAUUACACAGCUGGAAUAAACUCUCCUCCUUCAAUACCUGACUACUUGCACCAUCCAGCAGAUAUCCUCUACUACCAAGUCUCAACAGAUGGUUCAGCUGGUCUUUAAUGAACAAAAGGCAUUUGUGUAAUGGACUCUUAUUGCUCAAGAAGAAUUUCUUCCUUCCUGAAACAUGAGGAGAAACUGACAAAAACUGUCUCCUUGACCAAACCCUAGUCAGUUGCCUAUAAGCCCUGUAGGCUGUGACCUUAGUGUCUAUCCUUAUCAGACACGCAUUACACAACCAUAGCAACAGUCUUGCUAAGUUGGUUUAACCAGAACCCCUACCCUUGAUAUCUGAUUUAAUUUAUAAUUCCCCUGAGUCCCCGAGGUGACAUCCAUUCAUCCUGGCCAGCUUUCAAUAAGAAUCCUAUUGGAUUAUUUAGCUAGAAAUCACCCCUUACACUUAAUGCUUCCUUUUAGUAAUUUUGCAUCCACUAACCCCGACCUUGCUCGUUGGCUAUAAAUCCACAAGUUGUCCGUGUUGUGUUUGGAAUUGAUUACAAUUCUAUAUUGAGGUCUCUUUUCCCAUAUUGCAAUAGUUCCUGAUUAAAAUCUGCUUUUGCCCAUUGAUAUGGUUUGGUUGUGUACCCACUCAAAUCUCAUCUUGAAUUGUAGCUCCCAUGAUUCCCAUAAUUGAAUCAUGGCAGCAGUUUACCCCAUACUGUUCUUGUGGUAGUGAAUAAGUCUCAUGAGAUCUGAUGGUUUUAUAAGGGGUUUCCACUUUCACUUGAUUCUGACUCUCUUUUGUUUGCCGCUAUGUAAGACAUGCCUUUCACCUUCUGCCAUAAUUGUGAAGCCUCCCCAGCCACAUGGAACUGUGAGUCCGUUAAACCUCAUUUUCUUUAUAUAUAAAUUACCCAGUCUCAGGUAUGUCUUUAUCAGCAGCAUGAAAAUGGACUAAUACACUCCUUUAACUGUGUAGCUCUGGUGUUCUUUGAUGAGCUAGAAACUGUAAAUCUCUGGAAGUCAAAUCUUCAUUUGAACUGGUUGUUAUAUAUUAUUGAUUCUCUCAAUUAUUUAGUUAAAUAAAAGUCUUGACAUGUUAAA
Long non-coding RNA from Homo sapiens (human), 1356 nucleotides. Ensembl annotates it as long intergenic non-protein coding RNA 973. The record is from Ensembl. Lineage: Eukaryota; Metazoa; Chordata; Mammalia; Primates; Hominidae.